Molecule: ribosomal RNA, 495 nt
Filed under: uncultured bacterium
Lineage: Bacteria
Description: partial 16S ribosomal RNA
Rfam family: Bacterial small subunit ribosomal RNA
Source: RNAcentral
UGAACGCUGGCGGCGUGCCUAAUACAUGCACGUCGCGCGACCGGACGAGAAGCUUGCUUCUCUGAUGUUAGCGGCGGACGGGUGAGUAACACGUGGAUAACCUACCUAUAAGACUGGGAUAACUUCGGGAAACCGGAGCUAAUACCGGAUAAUAUUUUGAACCGCAUGGUUCAAAAGUGAAAGACGGUCUUGCUGUCACUUAUAGAUGGAUCCGCGCUGCAUUAGCUAGUUGGUAAGGUAACGGCUUACCAAGGCAACGAUGCAUAGCCGACCUGAGAGGGUGAUCGGCCACACUGGAACUGAGACACGGUCCAGACUCCUACGGGAGGCAGCAGUAGGGAAUCUUCCGCAAUGGGCGAAAGCCUGACGGAGCAACGCCGCGUGAGUGAUGAAGGUCUUCGGAUCGUAAAACUCUGUUAUUAGGGAAGAACAUAUGUGUAAGUAACUGUGCACAUCUUGACGGUACCUAAUCAGAAAGCCACGGCUAACUACGUG